CCACCAGCAGCGAGAGAGAGAGAGAGAGAGAGGUUAAGGAGUGGAGGACUCGUGGCGGGACGCUGAAGGAGGCGUGAAGGAGUGAAGCACGGACGCCCAGCACUCUGCCGCCACCAUCAACACUAACGUGAUCGUCACCUCGAGCGGGGAGGUGACGUGGCUGUCUCACGGCAUCUACAAGUCCUCCUGUGACAUGAACGUGGAGUUUUUCCCCUUUGAUGUCCAGUCCUGCAAGAUGUGGGCGUCCUGGACCUACGACGGCUACCAGCACUUUUGGUGUUCUACAUGCCGAGCGAAUCCGGGGGGAAGGUGACUCAGGGCAUCUCGACACUGCCCUCCGUCACUGUCUUCCUCUUGACCAUCAGAGUCCCUGCCGCCCACUGAGAAGACACCGCUCGUCAGUGAGUACUACGCCUCGCCUCUCACUGCCCUCCCUGUACCAUGCCUUACAAUAUACUGCCUUUCUUGUACUGUGACUUAUAAUACACAGCUCCUCUUAGUAAUGCGCCUCACUGUACACUGCCCUCCCUGUUCUAUGCCUUACAAUAUUGACUUUCUUUUACUGCGCUUUACUAUAUAUUGUUAUCCCAUCUUGGUCUCGUGGGACUCAACUUAAUAUUGGUAUAAGUUAACAUGAUAUGAUCUGACUUUUACUGUUACUUCUGCUGUUACUGGUGGUGGUGGUGGUGGUGGUGGUGUUGUUGAUGGUGGUGCGACUACUACUACUACUACUACUACUACUACUACUACUACUACUCACCACCAUUACCACCAUCACAACUGCAACAACCAGCCCACUAAAAUCACCAAAAUCCCACCAUUAACAACAACAACAACAACAACAACAACAACACCAGCAACAACACUAAUCUAACCUAACCCAGUCAUUCCUAUCAAACAAAGUAGGUAUUGACAAGACCAGGCUCAUCCAUCAGGGUUCAGCGAGGACUCUGUAAAAUCACCCCUCGUCUGUCUCUACUUUCCUCACUACGUGAAUAAGCACAGAGAAAAGGCGUUGCUACCACCUCGCCCCUUCCCCUUUAGUGGCCUUUCACAACGUGCUGGGAAUGUACAGACAC
Long non-coding RNA from Scylla paramamosain (green mud crab), 1079 nucleotides. RefSeq lists it as uncharacterized. The transcript has 3 exons. The record is from RefSeq and is a predicted model, not a curated record. NCBI's taxonomy places the organism in Eukaryota, Metazoa, Arthropoda, Malacostraca, Decapoda, Portunidae.